CCUGUCGUGCGUGCAUCAGGAGGUGGCAGAGAGGAGAGAGGAUAUGUCUACACUCAGUGUUCUGACCUAAGAACAUCUGAAUGAUCAGUAGCCUAAUUUU
This 100-nucleotide small nucleolar RNA is filed under the name Meriones unguiculatus (Mongolian gerbil). RNAcentral's name for it is "Small nucleolar RNA SNORA17 (ENSMUGG00000013156.1)". It matches the Rfam family "Small nucleolar RNA SNORA17", at positions 33 to 132 of the family's 132-position model. Rfam says of the family: snoRNA ACA 17 belongs to the H/ACA family of snoRNAs and is predicted to guide pseudouridylation of the 28S rRNA at positions U4659 and U4598. It shares the same host gene together with ACA43. The record is from RNAcentral. Lineage: Eukaryota; Metazoa; Chordata; Mammalia; Rodentia; Muridae.